GACGAACGCUGGCGGCGUGCUUAACACAUGCAAGUCGAGCGGUAAGGCCCUUUCGGGGUACGACGAGCGGCGAACGGGUGAGUAACACGUGGGUGACCUGCCCUCCAGCUCUGGGAGUAAGCCUGGGAAACGUGGGUCUAAUACCGGAUAUGACUCCAUGACGCAUGUUGUGGGGUGGAAAGCCUUGUGCGGCUGAGGAUGGGCCCGGCGGCCUAUCAGCUUGUUGGUGGGGUGAUGGCCUACCAAGGCGACGACGGGUAGCCGG
RNAcentral lists this ribosomal RNA (265 nucleotides) under uncultured bacterium. Its description in RNAcentral is "partial 16S ribosomal RNA". It matches the Rfam family "Bacterial small subunit ribosomal RNA", at positions 28 to 290 of the family's 1533-position model. The record is from RNAcentral.